This 449-nucleotide ribosomal RNA is filed under the name uncultured bacterium. RNAcentral describes it as "partial 16S ribosomal RNA". It matches the Rfam family "Bacterial small subunit ribosomal RNA", at positions 29 to 523 of the family's 1533-position model. The record is from RNAcentral.
AGCGAACGCUGGCGGCAGGCCUAACACAUGCAAGUCGAACGGACCCUUCGGGGCUAGUGGCGGACGGGUGAGUAACACGUAGGAACGUGCCUUUAGGGUCGAAAUAGCUCCUGGAAACGGGUGGUAAUGCCGAAUGGGCCCUUCGGGGGAAAGAUUUAUCGCCUUUGGAGGGGCCCGCGUCUGAUUAGCUAGUUGGGGGGGUAAUGGCUCACCAAGGCGACGAUCAUUAGCUGGUCCGAGAGGAUGACCAGGCACAUUGGGACUGAGACACGGCCCAAACUCCUACGGGAGGCAGCAGUGGGGAAUCUUGCGAAAUGGGCGAAAGCCUGACGCAGCCAUGCCGCGUGGAUGAUGAAGGUGUUAGGAUUGUAAAAUCCUUUCACCGGUGAAGAUUAUGACUGUAGCCGGGGAAGAAGCCCCGGCUAACUGCGUGCCAGCCGCCGCAGUAA